Molecule: ribosomal RNA, 502 nt
Filed under: uncultured bacterium
Lineage: Bacteria
Description: partial 16S ribosomal RNA
Rfam family: Bacterial small subunit ribosomal RNA
Source: RNAcentral
AUUGAACGCUGGCGGCAUGCCUUACACAUGCAAGUCGAACGGCAGCACGGGAGCUUGCUCCUGGUGGCGAGUGGCGAACGGGUGAGUAAUACAUCGGAACGUACCUAGUAGUGGGGAUAACGCACCGAAAGGUGCGCUAAUACCGCAUACGACCUACGGGUGAAAGCGGGGGACCGUAAGGCCUCGCGCUAUUGGACCGGCCGAUGUCUGAUUAGCUAGUUGGCGGGGUAAUAGCCCACCAAGGCGACGAUCAGUAGCUGGUCUGAGGGGACGAUCAGCCACACUGGGACUGAGACACGGCCCAGACUCCUACGGGAGGCAGCAGUGGGGAAUUUUGGACAAUGGGGGCAACCCUGAUCCAGCAAUGCCGCGUAUGCGAAGAAGGCCUUCGGGUUGUAAAGCACUUUUGUCAGGGAAGAAAUCUUUCAGGCUAAUACCCUUGGAAGGAUGACGGUACCUGAAGAAUAAGCACCGGCUAACUACGUGCCAGCCGCCGCCGUAA